This 303-nucleotide RNase P RNA is filed under the name Cronobacter sakazakii ATCC BAA-894. Its description in RNAcentral is "RNA component of RNase P". It matches the Rfam family "Bacterial RNase P class A", at positions 43 to 351 of the family's 367-position model. Rfam says of the family: Ribonuclease P (RNase P) is a ubiquitous endoribonuclease, found in archaea, bacteria and eukarya as well as chloroplasts and mitochondria. The record is from RNAcentral. Lineage: Bacteria; Pseudomonadati; Pseudomonadota; Gammaproteobacteria; Enterobacterales; Enterobacteriaceae.
GAGGAAAGUCCGGGCUCCAUAGGGCAGGGUGCCAGGUAACGCCUGGGGGGCGCAAGCCUACGACCAGUGCAACAGAGAGCAAACCGCCGAUGGCCCACGCAAGUGGGAUCAGGUAAGGGUGAAAGGGUGCGGUAAGAGCGCACCGCGCGUCUGGCAACAGUUCGCGGCACGGUAAACUCCACCCGGAGCAAGGCCAAAUAGGGGUUCACAAGGUACGGCCCGUACUGAACCCGGGUAGGCUGCUUGAGCCAGUGAGCGAUUGCUGGCCUAGAUGAAUGACUGUCCACGACAGAACCCGGCUUA